UACAGAGGUCUCAAGCGUUGUUCGGAUUCAUUGGGCGUAAAGGGUGCGUAGGCGGCGCGGUAAGUCGGGUGUGAAAUUUCGAGGCUUAACUUCGAAACUGCAUUCGAUACUGGCGUGCUUGAGGACUGGAGAGGAGACUGGAAUUCAUGGUGUAGCAGUGAAAUGCGUAGAGAUCAUGAGGAAGACCAGUGGCGAAGGCGGGUCUCUGGACAGUUCCUGACACUGAGACACGAAGGCCAGGGGAGCAAACGGG
Molecule: ribosomal RNA, 253 nt
Filed under: uncultured bacterium
Lineage: Bacteria
Description: partial 16S ribosomal RNA
Rfam family: Bacterial small subunit ribosomal RNA
Source: RNAcentral